CAAAUCCAUUACAGUAAAUUGACACUAAGUAUUUACAUUCCACAAAUGAGAAACACAUUUCCCUGUUAUUAAAUACAUAGAACAUUAUUCCAUAAUGCCUUUCAGCAAGACAUUCCACAAAUGAAGAACACAAAUGAAAGAAGCCAUAAAUGAAUCCAAAGAGCCAUUUUGGAUACAUACAUUAACAACCAUAUAUCGACAUCAUUACACAUCAUGAAAACAUCAAGACACACAAAAAGAAAGCACAAUCACGAGGAGCAGCAAUCAGGGCAACGAAUCAAGCCAUUCUCGUUACAUUCCAAGCACCGUUUAGGCACACCAUCAUCCUCAUCAAACACCUUCCGA
Molecule: long non-coding RNA, 345 nt
Filed under: Citrus sinensis (sweet orange)
Lineage: Eukaryota; Viridiplantae; Streptophyta; Magnoliopsida; Sapindales; Rutaceae
Description: long non-coding RNA (CSIN_LNC001023)
Source: RNAcentral